GAAAUGGGGCAACCCCAARGUAAAGUGGCGUACGGGUGAGUAACACGUAGGUAAUCUACCGAAGAGUCUGGAAUAACCUGCCGAAAGGCGGGCUAAUACUGGAUAGAGCGACGGGAUCCGUAAUUGGGUCUUUCGGGAAAGGGAGGCAGCAAUGUCCCUUGCUCUUCGAUGAGCCUGCGUCUCAUUAGCUAGUUGGUGGGGUAAAAGCCUACCAAGGCAUUGAUGAGUAGCUGGUCUGAGAGGAUGAUCAGCCACACUGGAACUGAAACACGGUCCAGACUCCUACGGGAGGCAGCAGUGGGGAAUCUUGCGCAAUGGACGAAAGUCUGACGCAGCCACGCCGCGUGAGUGAAGAAGGCCUUCGGGUUGUAAAGCUCUGUCGCGCGGGACGAACAUCCGGUGGGUUAACAGCCCAUCGGACUGACGGUACCGCGAAAGGAAGCACCGGCUAACUCUGUGCCAGCAGCCGCGGUAAUACAGAGGGUGCAAGCGUUGCUCGGAAUCAUUGGGCGUAAAGGGUAGGUAGGUGGUCUCAUUUGUCUGGGGUGA
Molecule: ribosomal RNA, 549 nt
Filed under: uncultured bacterium
Lineage: Bacteria
Description: bacterial SSU rRNA
Rfam family: Bacterial small subunit ribosomal RNA
Source: RNAcentral